Molecule: unclassified non-coding RNA, 1624 nt
Filed under: Hevea brasiliensis (rubber tree)
Lineage: Eukaryota; Viridiplantae; Streptophyta; Magnoliopsida; Malpighiales; Euphorbiaceae
Source: RNAcentral
GUGUGUGUGUGUGUGUGUGUGUGGGGAAGCGGGGGUGGGUGUCAUCACUUGUUAUUAUUACUAGAGAGCUUGGAGAAGAGCAGAGUAGGUAUAUUUAUUUCAGGGACCAUUGGCCUGCAGAAUCUUCUGUCCAUGGAUAAAACUAAUGGUUCUGAUUAUAAUGCUGACACCAUCCCUUUCUCUUUCUCUCUGCUCAUAUUAUCACUGCACCUCUCUGUUGCUUCUGCUGCUGCAGCUCAGCUGCCUCUGUGGCAGCUCUUGUCUCUGACACUUCUACGGAAACCCAUAAACUAAAGAGAAGAGUGCAUUAAAAAGACUGUAAAAAACAAAAGAGAAACGUUUCUUGUUUUUUAUUUAUUGAAAAAUAUUUUAGAGGAGUUGGUUUCUGAAGCCAAUUCCUGCCUGCACUGGGAAGGUUGUACGGUUGUAGCUUUUACCGCUACUAACUCUUUUACUUUUUCUGUUUCUUUACCGCAGAAACCUGUGUACCCUCCACUCACUAUUUGACCUUCUUCUAUUUGGGAAAUUGAGUAAAUGAGGGUUUCAGGCAAGAAGAUGGGGUUCUCUUGGCUUUUGAUAAAACUGGAACCCUUCUCUUUACCCCCUCUAUUAGUUUCCUUCUUUUUCCCUAAUCGAAAUGUAUAAAAUAUUUUACUUUCUUUCCUUUGUUGCAAAAUUGCUUAUGAAAAAUGUGUUGGUUUUGCUUGUCUUCCUUUAAUCAAUGUUACUUUACAUAAUCCAUUUUUAUUAGUUGACUAAACCACUGACACUAACUUAUUUCCUCCUUAAUCAUUCAUUCCCUUGCUUAACCACAAUUGCGGGGUGCUAGACAGCUACUUCACCAGGACAAGAUCUCUCACUUGGUUUAGUGAAUCCCUGAUGCAUUGUCAGAACAUUUCAGGUAACAUUAUGAUUCUGAAUUGACAGACCAGCUCCUUAAUUGUAAGCAGCUUUCCUAAUACAUAUAAAGGCUAUAGAUCCUAGAUUUUAGACCUGUGAAAGCACGAAUUUGAUGGGUUAAGCACAGAAUCUUAUCAUCUAUUUUUUAGCAAGCAUAAACCCCCACCCAGAGUAGCAGUGGUUGCAGAUGCCAAAUAUUGUUUGAAUUCUUAGGACUAUUCUUCAUUGUUUUUCAGAAGCAGCUACAACAGAGAAAGAAUGUUUAAUACUUCUUAUUAGUGGAUGGAGGAAGCAAAGUUAAUGAGCUGACGAUGUAUCAAGACAGUUGAGUUGGUGAAUGUUAUAAUAAAAAUCUCUUAUCACCCUGCAAAGGGAGAACUCUUUUGGUUACCCAAAAGUAAACCACUUUUUCAGUUGGUAGAUAUUAGUCCAAAUGAUGUUAAUUGUUAACUUCACCUUGCAAGCAAGGAUUUUUUGUAGGAGGGUAUUUGAGUAAAAUAGGGAUGGAAGAACGGGGCAUUGAUUUAGUUUGGUUGCAUUUAUUAAUUCCCUGGAACCAUUCUUGUAAGUAAGUUUGGCAGUGGCAGGAGGUGUACAAAGUAAUGCACUACUCUUUAGCACUGUUGUUAUCCCCUGGCAGACUCCAACACAUGCAAACAAUACUUUUUUGGUACAAAAGCCCACUGAAUCAGAACAUCUCCCCAGGUGCAUUUCUUGAAUAAAU